Molecule: long non-coding RNA, 693 nt
Organism: Hemicordylus capensis (graceful crag lizard)
Lineage: Eukaryota; Metazoa; Chordata; Lepidosauria; Squamata; Cordylidae
Exons: 3
Source: RefSeq, a predicted model, not a curated record
GGAUGAACCAAAACACCACAGUCUCUCCAGAUUUUGACUAUUUUCACCAUCUGGACCUGGCAACCCUAUCCAUCAACAACAAAAAAAGUAAAAGCACCAAAAGCACUCUGGACAUUCUGAAGAGAUGAAAAUGAGGUCAUUCUCAUGAGCAGCCCUACUCAGGGAAAUUUCAAGGUAAUUUUUGUCAACAUGCUCCACAAGCAAUGGAUUUUCAAGAGCCUUAAGCUGAGGAAGCUUCUUCCUGCACCACUCUCUGAAGAAGAAAUAACAAUUCACCGUCUCACUCGAGAGGCUGCAGACAACUAUAAAAACUAUAAAUAUUUUCAAAUGGAGCAUUUAAAAGAUUAGAAACUCCACCAUGGAGAAAUUGGGUGUCUCUCUCUCUCCCUCCCUCCCUCCCCCCACUUUUAUUAUGGAGUAGCACACACACACAAAUUAAACAAAGGAACAGCGGUGGAAACCAGAAAUGAAGUGAGAAACCUAUAGUUACUAAAUCUGAAGAACUGCUGAGCUAAGGAUUAAGUAAUGAAGUGUGGUUAAAACAAGAACAAGCCAAACAUUCAUAGCAAGUAGUGGGAGUGUAACAAUAAAUGUUAAAGCAUUGCAGAGCUUAAUUAACAAGUCGGUUCCAUUGCUCCAAGGUGGGGGGAGCGGAUACAGUGGAACCAAGAUGCCAUCUUGAAAGGACCCCUU